Molecule: ribosomal RNA, 594 nt
Filed under: uncultured bacterium
Lineage: Bacteria
Description: bacterial SSU rRNA
Rfam family: Bacterial small subunit ribosomal RNA
Source: RNAcentral
ACGCUGGCGGCAUGCCUAACACAUGCAAGUCGAACGGUAACAGGUCUUCGGAUGCUGACGAGUGGCGGACGGGUGAGUAAUGCGUAGGAAUCUGUCUUUUAGUGGGGGACAACCCAGGGAAACUUGGGCUAAUUCCGCAUGAGCCCUGAGGGGGAAAGCGGGGGAUCUUCGGGCCUCGCGCUAAGAGAGGAGCCUACGUCCGAUUAGCUAGUUGGCGGGGUAAAGGCCCACCAAGGCGACGAUCGGUAGCUGGUCUGAGAGGACGACCAGCCACACUGGGACUGAGACACGGCCCAGACUCCUACGGGAGGCAGCAGUGGGGAGUUUUUCGCAAUGGGGGCAACCCUGACGAAGCAAUGCCGCGUGGAUGAAGAAGGCCUUCGGGUUGUAAAGUCCUUUCGUGGAGGACGAAAAGGUGGGUUCUAAUACAAUCUGCUAUUGACGUGAAUCCAAGAAGAAGCACCGGCUAACUCCGUGCCAGCAGCCGCGGUAAUACGGGGGGUGCAAGCGUUAAUCGGAAUCACUGGGCGUAAAGGGUGCGUAGCGGUACGUUAGGUCUGUCGUGAAAUCCCCGGGCUCAACCUGGGAAUGGCG